RNAcentral lists this ribosomal RNA (496 nucleotides) under uncultured bacterium. Its description in RNAcentral is "bacterial SSU rRNA". It matches the Rfam family "Bacterial small subunit ribosomal RNA", at positions 28 to 514 of the family's 1533-position model. The record is from RNAcentral.
GAUGAACGCUAGCUACAGGCUUAACACAUGCAAGUCGAGGGGCAGCAGGGAUUUAGCUUGCUAAAUUCGCUGGCGACCGGCGCACGGGUGCGUAACGCGUAUCCAACUUUCCCGUUACUCUCGGAUAGCCUUCCGAAAGGGAGAUUAAUACGAGAUGGUGUUCUAAUUCCGCAUGUUAUUAGAACUAAAGAUUCAUCGGUAACGGAUAGGGAUGCGUGACAUUAGAUAGUUGGCGGGGUAACGGCCCACCAAGUCUACGAUGUCUAGGGGGUUCUGAGAGGAAGGUCCCCCACACUGGAACUGAGACACGGUCCAGACUCCUACGGGAGGCAGCAGUGAGGAAUAUUGGUCAAUGGCCGCGAGGCUGACCAGCCAAGUAGCGUGAAGGAUGAAGGUUCUAUGGAUUGUAAACUUCUUUAUACGGGAAUAACAUCACCUACGUGUAGGUGCCUGCAUGUACCGUAUGAAUAAGCAUCGGCUAACUCCGUGCCAGCAG